RNAcentral lists this transfer RNA (70 nucleotides) under Dipodomys ordii (Ord's kangaroo rat). It matches the Rfam family "tRNA". From Rfam's summary of the family: Transfer RNA (tRNA) molecules are approximately 80 nucleotides in length. Lineage: Eukaryota; Metazoa; Chordata; Mammalia; Rodentia; Heteromyidae. The record is from Rfam by way of RNAcentral.
GGGAAUGUAGUUCAGUGGUAGAGUGCUUGCCUUGCAUGCAUAAGGCCCUGGGUUCAAUUCCUCAGCACCA